This is a small nuclear RNA of Ictidomys tridecemlineatus (thirteen-lined ground squirrel), 98 nucleotides long. The record is from Ensembl. NCBI's taxonomy places the organism in Eukaryota, Metazoa, Chordata, Mammalia, Rodentia, Sciuridae.
GUGAUCGCUUCGGCAGCAAGUACAGUAAAACUGGAACGAUACAGAGAAGAUUAGCAUGCCCUGCACAAGGACGACAUGCAAAUUGAUUCCAUAUUUUU